UAGCACAGGGAUGGGCUUAUGACGCAUUAGCCAGCUGGUGAGGUAACGGCUCACCAGGGCGACGAUGCGUAGCCGGCCUGAGAGGGUGGACGGCCACACUGGGACUGAGACACGGCCCAGACUCCUACGGGAGGCAGCAGUGGGGAAUAUUGCGCAAUGGGGGCAACCCUGACGCAGCAACGCCGCGUGAUUGAUGAAGGUCUUCGGAUUGUAAACUUCUUUUCUUAGUGAAGAAGAAAGUGACGGUAGCUAAGGAAUAAGCAUCGGCUAACUAC
RNAcentral lists this ribosomal RNA (275 nucleotides) under uncultured bacterium. RNAcentral's name for it is "partial 16S ribosomal RNA". It matches the Rfam family "Bacterial small subunit ribosomal RNA", at positions 215 to 504 of the family's 1533-position model. The record is from RNAcentral.